AGUUAUGUCAUUUCGAUUAUAUGAGAGGCUUUGUUACAGUUGUUUUAAAUUACUAUUAAUACACUGUAGUGGAUGUUGUAAAUACUUAUAGGUUAUGUAUAUGUUCGAUGUACAUAGUUUUUAUUUUUGUUUUAAAAUGGUGAAGUGAAGAAAUAGAAAAAUAAACGGUGUAAAAGUAAUUUUAAUUUGGUAAAAUAUCAAUGUUUUAAUAAACGAAAAAAAAUCUCUUUAUUUUUGAUUCCUUAAGACCCAAAUAAGGCAUUAACUAUUUGUGAGAGAAAAUCUACCAAAACAGAUUACAAAAUGAAUGUUUCUUGCAUUGAGGUUCUAAAAAAGUCAUCAGUGUCAUCUUCCAUCUCAGUACGAAUUUCCUAUUAGUCUUAAGAAUCCAGAAAUAACAUAUCAAUGAAGAGUUUGGCAAUUACAAGCUUAAAAGAAGCAAGUACUUAGGUAUUUUCUUUGAAAAUUGAAGUCUUGACUUUUUCUCUAUGUCUAAAAAAUUGUAGUUUUCAAUGAUAAAUUGAGAAUUGUUCGAGAAGAGAAGUUGUAUAUUUAAAUUUAUUUGAAAGAUAUGUUAAAUGAGGCUAUUGAAAAUUACUUGAUAAUAUGCUUAAUUAACAUCAAACAGUGUAUUAUUCACGAAUGUAUAAUGGAGAUUAUUCAUGAGGUGAAGAUUACUGCCAAGGAUGUUUAUAAUGGAGAUUAUUCAUGAGGUGAAGAUUACUGCCACGAGGACUGCAAGUCCCGGAACAUCAUAGAUGUAAAUUUAGAAUUAAAAAUUCACAUUCGCAAAUUGUUCAGCAAACCAAACAAAUCUAGGUAUACAGUAGAUCAAUAAAGAAAAUGGAAUUAGAAAUGGAUGAUGAAUGGAAAGCUGCUCAAUGACGAAAGUAUAAAAAAAAUGAAAUAAGAAUCGUAUAAAAAUGUAGAAAUCGAUGCUAUGAUGAUUUUACUAAUUAGUAGUUAUUAAAAUGGACGAAAAUCUUACAAUUCAUUUCCAAUUGUAUACGAAAUCGAUCCACCGACUUUGUCCCCAUAAGCAAUAUAUCCAAAAAAUCCCAUACUGGUAUAUAACAAUACUAUGACUGCCAUACCAAUAUUCAAAACUCCCAGUGUACUUCCAAAGUAUUGUGGGGUUUUCAUUUCGUUUUCCAACGGCAUUAUCUGAAAAUAAAAAAAGUAAUCACUCAAAUAUUCAAUCAAUCGUAUAACGAAACUAAAACUGGGACUAAUUUUUCAAACAAUCUUCUGCUGCCUUGCUUUUGGAGUGUGAUGGACAGAAAACAACAUCCUGGCUAGAUAGAACAAGGGGAAACAUGAGUUCAGCUAUAGAAUUAGACGAGAAAACAUACAAAAAUUAGUUGAGAAUGGAUGAAGAAACAUUUGGACAAUAAAACAUAGGAUAACUGAGAAAUCCUUGGCGAGAUGUACUAUCAGCAGAUCGGAAGCUCAUUUCUCCCUAGAAUUGUUGUUGCAAGUGCGAGAUCUUGCAUGAAACAAUCAGCUGAACUUCAUGUGCGCAUGCUUUUAAUCCAGAAAUAUUGCGUCUUGCAAGACGAAGUGCAAGAAAUUACUUGCAAUUUCUUCCUAAAAGCCGCUUGACAUGGUGCAAGAUAACGUUCAAUCAAGUGUAAAAUAACGCAUAAAUAAAUAUUGAACGUCGCUUGACUUGUUCAAAUCUUUUGCGAUUGCGAUUGCGAGUGGCAUGACUGCCACUAACAAAAAUUCCAUUAGUAAUAGUAGACAAAUUCCUAACCUCAAAUUAUAUAACCGAUUUAAAAACGAGAAUAACGAAACUAAGGCCAGUGGCCUUGUUUUUAGAGCCUAUGGACAGGUUUGUUGUUAAAUCAAAAGUUUCUUUUCUCUAGAAAUGCAGCUUGCGCGCAAUAAAAAUGACACCAAUCAUAUAAUAUCGCAAGUGCAAGAUCUUGCGCAUGCUAGAAAUUUUGCGACUUGCAUUGCAUUGCACGUUGUAUUGCAUCAUGUCAAGCGGCGUUAAACGAUCCAUUAAACACAAGUAAGGAUUUCCUACGUUUGCUUUGCUAUUCCAAAACUGUACAACAGAUUGCAUCGAAUUUAACUUUUAUUACUUUUCAAAAUAAUAGGAAAAACCGCACGAAAUACUAUGAGACUUUUUUGGAUAUUUUCCAAUAAUUUCUGAAUAUAAAUAUAUAAUGAGGACCACAAAUCGAUUUUACUACUGUUAUCGUUUGUAACAGGAUCGGAUUGCAACGAUUUUUAAUUCGCUUUAUUUAACUGAGAAGUUAAUUGAAGAAGACAGAAAACAAUAUACUUCAUUUCAAUUAUAUUUUCAGCGGAGAGAUGUGGAAUAUUGAAAAAGGUGGAGGAAAAAGAAAUCCUGGCUCCCUAACAUAAGAGAAUGGACAAAUCUCAAUGUCGAAAAAUUGUUUUAUGUUAAAUCGUGGUCGCCAAAAUGAGAAGACUGCUUCAGAAGAAGAAGAAGAAGAAAGAGGUGUGUCUUCUUUGAAUUUACUGAGGUUCUAUAAUUACGGAUAUAAUAGCUGAUGUUGAAAGGCAAAUGGGCAAACUAUAGGCAGUAAAUGUUUUCAUCUAUUUCAUAUAGAAUUUUUUAUAAUAAAUUUUUUUCGAUAGUUUACUAUUGAAGCAUCUCCUCUUCAUUUUGGUUUUAUUGAUAGUAACAUUAAGAAACGUUUUAAUAAAAAUCGCUGUGUAAUAUUUUGAUUGUAAAUAAAAAACACUGAACCUAAGUCAAUUUAGCAAUAGAUCUUACAGUGACAUUUAUUACAGAAAUCACAUUUUUCUUAGUAAAAUAUACAUUUAUUUAAUAAAUGUAUCAUAUUUACUCACCACACCAAUUGCUUCUAAAGCAAAUAAAACUGUUCCGAAAUA
Molecule: long non-coding RNA, 2871 nt
Organism: Diorhabda carinulata
Lineage: Eukaryota; Metazoa; Arthropoda; Insecta; Coleoptera; Chrysomelidae
Exons: 3
Source: RefSeq, a predicted model, not a curated record